RNAcentral lists this ribosomal RNA (253 nucleotides) under uncultured bacterium. RNAcentral's name for it is "partial 16S ribosomal RNA". It matches the Rfam family "Bacterial small subunit ribosomal RNA", at positions 524 to 776 of the family's 1533-position model. The record is from RNAcentral.
UACGUAGGGUGCAAGCGUUGUCCGGAAUCAUUGGGCGUAAAGCGCGCGUAGGUGGCUUCGUAAGUCCGUUGUGAAAGUCAAAGGCUCAACCUUUGAAUGCCGAUGGAUACUGCGGAGCUAGAGUACGGAAGAGGCGAGUGGAAUUCCUGGUGUAGCGGUGGAAUGCGUAGAGAUCGGGAGGAACAUCAGUGGCGAAGGCGGCCAUCUGGGACAACACUGACGCUGAGGCACGAAAGCGUGGGGAGCAAACAGG